CAGAUGUGUCUCAAUGUCGAUCUGUCGGUUGUAGCUCUGGGUCGAAAGUAUCCUGUAUUCCUGGCCCCACCGUCCAAGUACGAUGCUUCAACCAAAAGGAUGGGUGCGAAAAACCGUGGGGAUCUUUUUGCGGCAGGCAAGCUUUCAUCGUAUGCAUAGAUGGCUCCGAGAUCUGCAUUUGUCAUUGUGCGCCUUUGGGAACCGAUAUCAAUAAACAGUUUCCGAACUGGACAUCAGUUACCUGGUCAUCAGGAAGCGGAAAAUGACUCCACAGGCUCUUUUUAUUAUUAUGAUUAUUGUCGCAGCAAGUCUACAUAUGUGUACACUUGUGAGCUGGCUUCACACCAAGAUGUGAAAGCAAU
Dermacentor silvarum is the source of this 362-nucleotide long non-coding RNA. RefSeq lists it as uncharacterized. The transcript is spliced from 4 exons. NCBI's taxonomy places the organism in Eukaryota, Metazoa, Arthropoda, Arachnida, Ixodida, Ixodidae. The record is from RefSeq and is a predicted model, not a curated record.